CCUGGACCAGGGCUUGAACCCGUGUCCUCUGCAUUGGCAGGCGGAUUCUUAACCACUGUACCACCAGGGAAGCCCAUGACUGUCUUAACUUUAAUGCCCAGGCAGCAAGCACAGUGAUCACUGGGCUGGUUCUGAAAAGAAACUCGCCUGGCUGAAGUACUAUCUAUACCUGUUGCUUAGUACAUUCCAGUCAGCAUAGAGCAGAGUUUCUCAGCCUCAGCACAAUUGGUGCUUUGGGCUGGAUAAUCCUUUGUUGUGGGGCUGUCCUGUGAAUUGUAGGAUGCUUAGGAGCAUCCCUGGCCUCUACCUUCUAGGUGCCAGUAGCAUGUCAGUUGUGACAACCAAAAAUGUCUCCAGAGAUUGGCAAAUGUCCCCUUAGGGGCAAAAUUUCCCCCGGUUGAGAACCACUGGCAUAAGAACCAAUGUUACCACCUUAGGUCAAACUUGAGUUUUCUUUCCCUAUCUUCUCUCUUCUAUGGAAAGUUGCUUAUGACCAGGGAAAUUUUAGUGUAUGUAUACUCUAUCUCAGGGUAACAAGUUGUUGGAUAAUUGGUUAUAUAUACAAAAUUAUCAACUUGCUACCCACUUGCAAUAUUGCAUAUAUAAUGCUUUUAGUUAACUUUAUGUAAUGGUCUAAUUAGAGUAUAUAUAAUUGGAAGUCUAAUUUACAGUAAGACUGUUAGAAUCUUUGUGAUUAGGUAUUUAUUUGUACAAGGGGAACAUUAGAAUGGCACCUCAAAAUUUGCUUUUCCUGUACUAUUUGUACUUAAUUGGUGUUGCCUCUGUAAUGUGCCCAUCAUCCUUUGCCAGAAGAGCAUAAAUAUGCAAAAUAUCUGUUUGAAGAGGAUUUGGUAUUUUGUUCUGGGCUUUCAAAAAAUGUUUUGUUUUGUUUUCAAUUAGAAAUGAUAAAGUAGAUUAAAGUAAAAGUCACCAUUAAGUAGUAAGUAAUAAGUAAAUAAACUCAUUGAACCUGUUUGCUAUGCAUAUUUUUUUAAUUAAACAAUAUCAUGUAGAUAAUGUUCUUCAACCUUUUUUAAAACAGCAUAGUGUGGAUAUCUUUCAAUGCAUACAUGAUUUUUUUAUGUCUACAUAGUGUUCGAGACAAAAUUUUCCCUCUCUCCAUGUUUUUUAUGGAAGUAAUCCAGUCCCGUGGUUUCAAAACAUAAACUGUAAUGGCCACGGCGGGCGAGAGCGAGCCGCGGCCUGGGCCCCAGGGUGAUCUCGGGGGCCUGGGGCCCCGUGCGGCCGGCUCGGUAGCUUUUCCCUCCUGCCCCCCCGCACGCGGAGUCCUUCCUCCCCUGGCGGGGUCUCCAGCUUAACCCAGACCAGAGGAGGCUUUUCUUUGGGUGAGGGACACGAAAGUGCAUUGAGAAUUUCUCAACUCGGGAAGCAGAAGUGCUGCUCCUAGGUUUUACAGGGAGUAAGGGGGGAGCAGUGAGUUCGUGGAUAUUGAGUGAUGAUAAUAGCUAACCUUUUUCCAAGCCCUCGCUGUGUGCCAGGCACUGUGCGGAGCAACUUGUGUGUCUCUUCUUUACUCCCGAAAUGCCCCGAUGAGGUUGAACUGAGCAAAGCAAUGGUUAUGGAGAAGCCUAGUCUCCUGCUGGUCGGGCGGGAAUUUGUGAGACAGUAUUACACACUGUUGAACCAGGCCUCAGACAUGCUACACAGAUUUUGUGGAAAGAACUCUUCUUAUGUCCAUGGGGGAUUGGAUUCAAAUGGAAAGCCAGCAGAUGCGGUCUAUGGACAGAAAGAAAUCCAUAGGAAAGUGAUGUCACGAAAUUUCACCAAUUGCCACACUAAGAUCCGUCAUGUCGAUGCUCAUGCCACCCUGAAUGAUGGUGUGGUGGUCCAGGUGAUGGGCUUGUUCUCUAAUAACCACCAGGCUUUGAGGAGAUUCAUGCAGACCUUUGUCCUUGCUCCUGAGGGCUCUGUUGCAAAUAAGUUCUAUGUUCAUAAUGAUAUCUUCAGAUACCAAGAUGAGGUCUUUGGUGGCUUUGUCACUGAGCCUCAGGAAGAAUCUGAAGAAGAAGUAGAGGAACCUGAAGAAAGACAGCAGACACCUGAGGUGGUACCUGAUGAUUCUGGAACUUUCUAUGAUCAAACUGUCAGCAGUGACUUAGAAGAACAUUUAGAAGAACUUGUUGCUGAACCAGAGCCUGAUCCUGAACCAGAGCCAGAGCAAGAACCUGUGUCUGAAGUCCAAGAGGAAAAGUCUGAGCCAGUAUUGGAAGAAACUGUUCCUGAGGAUGCUCAGAAGAGUUCUUCUCCAGCGCCUGCAGACAUAGCCCAGACAGUGCAGGAGGACUUGAGAACCUUUUCAUGGGCAUCUGUGACCAGUAAGAACCUUCCACCCAGUGGAGCUGUUCCGGUUACUGGGAUACCACCUCAUGUUGUUAAAGUACCAGCUUCACAGCCUCGUCCAGAGUCUAAGCCUGAAUCUCACAUUCCACCGCAGAGGCCUCAGAGGGAUCAAAGGGUGCGAGAACAGCGAAUAAAUGUUCCUCCCCAGAGGGGGCCUAGACCAGUCUGUGAGGCUGGUGAGCAAGGUGACGUUGAACCCCGAAGAAUCGUGAGACACCCUGACAGUCACCAACUCUUUAUCGGCAAUCUGCCUCAUGAGGUGGACAAAUCAGAGCUUAAAGAUUUUUUUCAAAAUUAUGGGAAUGUGGUGGAGCUGCAUAUUAACAGCGGUGGGAAAUUACCCAAUUUUGGGUUCAUUGUGUUUGAUGAUUCUGAGCCUGUUCAGAAGGUGCUUAGCAACAGGCCCAUCAUGUUCAGAGGUGAGGUCCGUCUGAAUGUGGAAGAAAAGAAGACUCAAGCUGCCCGGGAAGGGGAUUGCCGAGAUAACCGCCUUUGGGGACCUGGAGGCCCUCGAGGUGGGCUGGGUGGUGGGAUGAGAGGCCCACCCCGUGGAGGCAUGGUGCAGAAACCAGGAUUUGGAGUGGGAAGGGGCAUUGCUCCAAGGCAGUGAAUUGCUCUUCACCGAUCUUCAGGCAGCAGUACAAACCCUAGCUCCCACAGAAUGAUUUCUUCAGCCAACCUUUGGUAUCUUGGAAUCUGAUCCUAGUCUAUGAUAAACUGCUUAAGUUUGUACAGUUCUACUUUUUGUGUUACUGAUGUGUGCUCGUUCCCCUCUCACCCCCUCCCCCCACCUUUUAGUCCUUCACUUCCAGUUUUGUGGAAUGAUAUUUUAGGCAAAAUUGAUUUUUAAAGAAGAAAAAAAAAGACUGCAUUUCCUUGAUUUAUUUGCAUAUACAGACUGGAUUUUUUUUUAACAGUUUCCCCAAAGGAAUGUGUCUUGCUUAUUACUGACAUUUGGUAUGUUUCAUUCAUUGGAAUAUUUUUUACUUAUUUUCUACAUGUUUCAAAAGCCUGUGAGAAUUACAGGAUUUGAUAAACAUUUUGAAGGCAGGAAGAACCCAAAUUGUCUCUUCUUUGAGAGUCAUGACUACCUUCUGGUGUGGAAAAAUUGCCGUUGGAAAAAUUGACAAUUUAGAUUCUCUCUGGUAUGGUUAAAAACUGAAUAAAAGGUGUUAGUAGAGUUUUUCUUUGGAUACGUGGUUGCAAAACAGUUCCAAAACCUGUUUUUACCAUUGAAAUUUAAACUGUGAGAUAGGUUUUAAAUGUCUAGAAUGCAACUGAUAAGCUUUUCUUGAACUGUUAGAUUUUUUUUUUGAAGUAGAGUUUUUUCAUGUUUAAUUUGUAUUUGUAAAAAAAAAAAAAACCAAAAAGGCCCCAAAAAUUUUCAAAAAUCUGAAUAACACAAAACCGGAGCAAAACUGUUGUGCCUUCUAUUUAUCUUUGAUUCCAGUCUUGGCAAUUGUUUAAAGAAAAAUAAUAAUAAAAAACAUAAACUUAGGUUUGUUCUAUUUAAAAAAAUAAAUAAAAAUAAACUGUAUAGGACUAAUAAUAUACAAAAAUUACUUAGUUUGCUUCAUUUAAGACCUGAAGUGGGCAAGGAUAGUACAGUGUCAGAUGCAGUAGAAAAAAACACUAUAGCUGACAUUCUAAUUCUCUUGUAGACAUAAGUGAACAAAUUUGCUGAAAUACAGAGCUUUCACACUUGUGAACUUUUAUCCCCAGCAUCCAAUACAGUGUCUGGAACAUAAUAAGCUCUGAUAUAUUUGUUGAAUAAAUGAAAAAUAAUAUUUUGUCUAGG
Delphinapterus leucas (beluga whale) is the source of this 4159-nucleotide non-coding RNA. The record is from RefSeq and is a predicted model, not a curated record. Lineage: Eukaryota; Metazoa; Chordata; Mammalia; Artiodactyla; Monodontidae.